Molecule: transfer RNA, 76 nt
Filed under: Natranaerobius trueperi
Lineage: Bacteria; Bacillati; Bacillota; Clostridia; Natranaerobiales; Natranaerobiaceae
Description: tRNA-Phe
Rfam family: tRNA
About the family: Transfer RNA (tRNA) molecules are approximately 80 nucleotides in length. Their secondary structure includes four short double-helical elements and three loops (D, anti-codon, and T loops). Further hydrogen bonds mediate the characteristic L-shaped molecular structure. tRNAs have two regions of fundamental functional importance: the anti-codon, which is responsible for specific mRNA codon recognition, and the 3' end, to which the tRNAs corresponding amino acid is attached (by aminoacyl-tRNA synthetases). tRNAs cope with the degeneracy of the genetic code in two manners: having more than one tRNA (with a specific anti-codon) for a particular amino acid; and 'wobble' base-pairing, i.e. permitting non-standard base-pairing at the 3rd anti-codon position.
Source: RNAcentral
GGCGAGAUAGCUCAGUCGGUAGAGCAGUGGACUGAAAAUCCACGUGUCGACGGUUCGAUUCCGUCUCUUGCCACCA